UACGAAGGGGGCUAGCGUUGUUCGGAAUCACUGGGCGUAAAGCGCACGUAGGCGGAUCCUUAAGUCGGGGGUGAAAUCCUGGAGCUCAACUCCAGAACUGCCUUCGAUACUGAGGAUCUCGAGUCCGGGAGAGGUGAGUGGAACUGCGAGUGUAGAGGUGAAAUUCGUAGAUAUUCGCAAGAACACCAGUGGCGAAGGCGGCUCACUGGCCCGGUACUGACGCUGAGGUGCGAAAGCGUGGGGAGCAAACAGG
This 253-nucleotide ribosomal RNA is filed under the name uncultured bacterium. RNAcentral describes it as "partial 16S ribosomal RNA". It matches the Rfam family "Bacterial small subunit ribosomal RNA", at positions 524 to 776 of the family's 1533-position model. The record is from RNAcentral.